UAGUCAUAUGCUUGUCUCAAAGAUUAACCCUUGCAUGUCUCAGUUUAAGCUUUUAUACAGUGAAACUGCGAAUGGCUCAUUAAAGCAGUUAUAGUUUAUUUGAUGGCCACUCUUACAUGGAUAACUGUGGUAAUUCUAGAGCUAAUACAUGCACCAAAACCCGACUUCGGAAGGGUUGUGUUUAUUAAAUACAGAACCAUCCCAUGCUCCGCAUGGUUUUGUGGUGACUCAUAAUAACUCGAUGAAUCGUAUGGCUUCGCUGACGAUGCAUCAUUCAAGUUUCUGACCUAUCACCUUCCGACGGUAGGGUAUUGGCCUACCGGGGCAAUGACGGGUAACGGAAAUUUAGGGUUUGAUUCCGGAGAGGGAGCCUGAGAAACGGCUACCACAUCUAAGGAAGGCAGCAGGCGCGAAAAUUACCCAUUCCUGACACAGGGAGGUGGGGACAAGAAAUAACAAUACAGGGCAAUACUGCCUGGUAAUUGGAAUGAGUAAAAUUUAAAUCUCUUUAUGAUAUCAAUGGAAGGGCAAAGUCUG
This 537-nucleotide ribosomal RNA is filed under the name uncultured eukaryote. RNAcentral's name for it is "SSU rRNA". It matches the Rfam family "Eukaryotic small subunit ribosomal RNA", at positions 21 to 563 of the family's 1831-position model. The record is from RNAcentral.